RNAcentral lists this ribosomal RNA (430 nucleotides) under uncultured bacterium. RNAcentral's name for it is "partial 16S ribosomal RNA". It matches the Rfam family "Bacterial small subunit ribosomal RNA", at positions 29 to 507 of the family's 1533-position model. The record is from RNAcentral.
AACGAACGCUGGCGGCAGGCCUAACACAUGCAAGUCGAGCGCCCUUUCGGGGGAGCGGCGGACGGGUGAGUAACGCGUGGGAAUAUGCCCUUCUCUACGGAAUAGCCUCGGGAAACUGAGAGUAUACCGUAUACGCCCUGUGGGGGAAAGAUUUAUCGGGGAAGGAUUAGCCCGCGUUGGAUUAGGUAGUUGGUGGGGUAAUGGCCUACCAAGCCGACGAUCCAUAGCUGGUUUGAGAGGAUGAUCAGCCACACUGGGACUGAGACACGGCCCAGACUCCUACGGGAGGCAGCAGUGGGGAAUCUUAGACAAUGGGGGCAACCCUGAUCUAGCCAUGCCGCGUGAGUGAUGAAGGCCUUAGGGUUGUAAAGCUCUUUCAGCUGGGAAGAUAAUGACGGUACCAGCAGAAGAAGCCCCGGCUAACUCCGUG